UGCUCUAUGAUUGGAUAACUAGUCAAGUAAGCUGCUCUGUGAUUGGAUAACUUAGUAAGUCUCAUUUCUAUUCAAAGCUAUUCUAUUACAUUCAUAGCCAGUAAUUGAGCUGGGUUCCAUGGGUGUGUUGGGGUAAAGGUGUGUGUUGGGUUCCAUGGGUGUGUGUUGGGUUCCAUGGGUGUGUUUGGGUAAAGGUGUGUGUUGGGUUCCAUGGGUGUGUUUGGGUAAAGGUGUUUGCUCUGUAGUUCUGGUGUUUAAUGAGUUGGUGUUUAAUG
Long non-coding RNA from Alosa sapidissima (American shad), 275 nucleotides. RefSeq lists it as uncharacterized. Lineage: Eukaryota; Metazoa; Chordata; Actinopteri; Clupeiformes; Clupeidae. The record is from RefSeq and is a predicted model, not a curated record. The transcript is spliced from 4 exons.